CUCCGGGCAGGCGGCCGGCCGGGCUUGGGGUCCCCCUCUCCCUCGCGGGCGGCCGGGGCGGAGUCCCCGAGUCCCCUCCGCCUCGGCAGGAGGCGCGUCUGGAACUCGGGAGCGGGCGGGACGCUUGCCGGCCUCUGAGAUCAUCGGGUUCGAAUCCCAGCUCCGCCAGAGCUACUCCGCGACGCUGGACCUCCUGUCUCGGAGCCUCAGUUUCCCCUCUAGGGGACUGACUUUACAGUUCUCUGCACUUUGAUUUUUCAUGACUUAAGGUGUAAGAAGCCCUGAGAUUCCACAGAUCUUGAACACCCGGAUGGAGGAUCCGUCUGUCCUGGCCUCGGCAUCUUAGAGUGGUGCCUGCACACAGCCGCCUCCGGCUGCAGCCAGCGCCUCCAUCCCGCGGCCCCUGCCGGGGGCCCUCCCCAGAGCAAGGACUGCAUCCUUUUAGCAGCAGCGCACAGGCUGUGAAGGCGUUCACCUGCCGCAUCCCAGUGGAGCCUUCCUUGUGGCCUGGCAGCGCUUCUCCCUUGAACCUGCACAUCCCAGGAAGAUGCAGACCGACUCAGGACGUCUGCGGUGGGGCCUCUUGAACCCCCUCCCAGGUCAUGCAGAUGCUGCUUGUCCA
Molecule: long non-coding RNA, 622 nt
Filed under: Equus caballus (horse)
Lineage: Eukaryota; Metazoa; Chordata; Mammalia; Perissodactyla; Equidae
Description: lncRNA (ENSECAG00000047161.1)
Source: RNAcentral